GGAAAUUCCGCCAGCAGAGUCAUCAAAAAGCAUAAGAGACUGCUGCAUGACUUGUGGCUCAGACUGCUUGGUUGAUUUGCAAGUGGGUGAGGUGAAAGACAGAUGGCCAUGGGCUGCAGGUGCCAACUCUGAACUUUCAGCAGGGGACUGGUUGGGAGACAAUGUCAAGGAACUGGAGGCACUGUCAGCCACCCAAUCUACUAUUGCCUGUACUUGUUCUGGCCUCACCAUUCAUAGAGCGGCAUUCGGGCCUACCAAAUAACGCAGAAGGUUCUGUCGCCUAAUCGCACCUGAGGAAGGUGUUUCACUUGUGCGUGUAGCUGGCACAGAUCAACCACGUCCUCUCCCUGCAACAGGAACUCCACCAUCACCAGCAGCAACACGACCAGGGCCACAUCCCUUAUUUGACGCUCUCCUCAUUCUUUGCGCUCACCCACCAAACUAACAGAUGGUUAUCAAGCGACAAUGUAACCGCCAAUAGUCAACAAUUAAGUUCACUGACAAUAAGGCAGUGCCGGUGUCCUAAAGAGAAAAAAUUUCUAGAGAUCACACAACAGUGUGACAGGCGUAAUUAAUACAGUUACUUCACUGUCUCAAAAAUUUUUAAUUUGUCAAACAACAAUGUAACAGUAGUAUUAAACGGUUUUAUUGGACUGCAAGAAAUGUACUAUUUAGCACAAAAAAAACUGUGAUUUUUUUUAAACCAACAAUGUAACAGUAGUAUUUAAGGGUUUUAUUGGACUGCAAGAAAUGCACCGCAUAUUUGAUGGUUCUAUUUGACUCUCAGAUAUGAAGUGCACACCCCAAAUUUACUUUUUAGAACCAAAGAAAUGUGAAUUGGUCAAACUGCAAUGUAACCACAGUAUUUGACGGUUCUAUUUGACUCUCAGAUAUGAAGUGCACACCCCAAAUUUACUUUUUAGCACCAAAACAAAUGUGAACUAGUCAAACUGCAAUGUCACAGCAGUAUUUGACGGUUCUAUUUGACUCUCAGAUAUAAAGUGCACGCCCCAAAUUAACUUUUUAGCACCAGAAAAAUGUGAAUUUGUCAAACUGCAAUGUCACAGCAGUAUUUAAAAAUGCCUAGAUGUUGCCCACUGAGCUACCAGGUACAUUAAAGUAAUGUGCCUGGCACACAUGCAGUUGCAAGUGCACUGCACUUGCAAAAAUGUCCGCCGAGGCCCACCUAACAAACAGACUGAUUG
Pelobates cultripes (western spadefoot toad) is the source of this 1205-nucleotide non-coding RNA. The record is from the annotation of a GenBank genome assembly. NCBI's taxonomy places the organism in Eukaryota, Metazoa, Chordata, Amphibia, Anura, Pelobatidae.